Molecule: ribosomal RNA, 369 nt
Filed under: uncultured bacterium
Lineage: Bacteria
Description: bacterial SSU rRNA
Rfam family: Bacterial small subunit ribosomal RNA
Source: RNAcentral
GUAGGGUGCAAGCGUUAAUCGGAAUUACUGGGCGUAAAGCGUGCGCAGGCGGUUAUGCAAGACAGAGGUGGAAUCCCCGGGCUCAACCUGGGAACUGCCUUUGUGACUGCAUGGCUAGAGUACGGUAGAGGGGGAUGGAAUUCCGCGUGUAGCAGUGAAAUGCGUAGAUAUGCGGAGGAACACCGAUGGCGAAGGCAAUCCCCUGGACCUGUACUGACGCUCAUGCACGAAAGCGUGGGGAGCAAACAGGAUUAGAUACCCUGGUAGUCCACGCCCUAAACGAUGUCAACUGGUUGUUGGGAGGGUUUCUUCUCAGUAACGUAGCUAACGCGUGAAGUUGACCGCCUGGGGAGUACGGCCGCAAGGUUG